GGGAAAUAAAGUAGUUUGGUGCUUUGGAUCUCAUUAAACUGCUUGGUGACACCAGCGUGAGGACUGUGACAAGGGUCCCUAAACUCACUGCACAUUAUUAGGACACAGUUUUGCCUUCGGUCAGCUUCCUCCUUGGUGUCUGUGUUCCGGUGGUGUUUCUAGUCCUUGUUCGCUCGUUGUUUUCUCCGCUCCCUCGUCCUUCCUCGCUGUUUUGUCUGUUUCUUUUGCUACGAGGUGUGCCCGGGGCCGGAGCCUCUGCCUGGGAGGACACGGCUGGGUCCCGAGCUGCAGAGCCGAGGGGCGGGGCCGCACCUGGGGGGACCGCGAGCGGCGUCAGAGCCGCUGGACGACGAGGGGACCCGAGCGCAUCCAUCACCGCCGCUCGCGGGGAAAGAGACGCCACCUCUCAUCCCUAGAUGGCAGCAGGGCUCUGAAGCUGGCGCAGCCCUAGGCAGCCUUUUCUGGUCUGUUUUCCCUAGCAGAACGCCAAUGGAUACAGCGGUAAACAGCGCGGCGCGUCCCUGGAGUGCGGGUCAAGCAGGAGAGCAAGCUAGGAGUUGAAGCAUCUGAGAUAGUGAAAAAUAAUGGGCAUGCA
Molecule: long non-coding RNA, 595 nt
Filed under: Fukomys damarensis (Damara mole-rat)
Lineage: Eukaryota; Metazoa; Chordata; Mammalia; Rodentia; Bathyergidae
Description: lncRNA (ENSFDAG00000023638.1)
Source: RNAcentral